Molecule: ribosomal RNA, 254 nt
Filed under: uncultured bacterium
Lineage: Bacteria
Description: partial 16S ribosomal RNA
Rfam family: Bacterial small subunit ribosomal RNA
Source: RNAcentral
UACGAAGGGUGCAAGCGUUACUCGGAAUUACUGGGCGUAAAGCGUGCGUAGGCGGUUUGUUAAGUCCGUUGUGAAAGCCCUGGGCUCAAUCUGGGAAUUGCAGUGGAUACUGGCGAGCUAGAGUGCGGUAGAGGAUGGUGGAAUUCCCGGUGUAGCGGUGAAAUGCGUAGAGAUCGGGAGGAACACCCGUGGCGAAGGCGGCCAUCUGGACCAGCACUGACGCUGAGGCACGAAAGCGUGGGGAGCAAACAGGG